RNAcentral lists this unclassified non-coding RNA (4304 nucleotides) under Camponotus floridanus (Florida carpenter ant). RNAcentral's name for it is "uncharacterized LOC105257352, transcript variant X3". The record is from RNAcentral. Lineage: Eukaryota; Metazoa; Arthropoda; Insecta; Hymenoptera; Formicidae.
UUAUAACAAGUUGCAAGAGGAUGUAAGAAUAAAGAGAUCGACAUCGAUCGUACGCGCUGGACUCGGCUCCUUCGACGAAAACUCAUCUCUCCCCGAUUUGCGGUCGGCCGCAUCCGCCCGCGCACUGGACCGAACGAGACGCGACGCGACCGAGUAUCUCCGAGCGUCGGCGGAGGCGCACGAGUAGUCGGCUCGAAACGCGCUCGCGCGACGGAUCGGCCGCGCGUUUAACCUGCGCUCUCCUCUCGCUCUGACACGCGCAUCGAGAUACGUCGUCGCGUCGAGAGAUCUUGGCAUCUCCGAAUCGGAAGUACACUCAUUCUCUCUCUCCUCCUCCCCGCGUAUAUCCGGUCGCGGUCUUUAUCCCGCGAUCGAGCGCAUUUUCGAAAAGAGGCGCCCGCGAAUCUGUCGCGCCUCGUCGAGAUUCGUCGUGCUUGAGCGCGUUUUUAAAAAUACGCGCGCUCCCCGCGUCGCAGUGAGAUCUCGUCGUCCUCGAGGGGAUAUCAUUUGGAGGAAAACGGAGACAAGUGUCGCGCGAAAGUGCAAAGUGUGCAUGAUUCCCGGACGACGCGCUCUAUCGAAUUCCGAGUAUAUUGACACCUACCGAAGAGGGUGAACGACACGCGAUCGAGCGCGACACAUCGUGUUCGAGGCGUCGGAUGGACCGAGCGUAGCAUCCUUGGAAAGAGUGCACGCGCCGUCAACCGAUCAGCUCGGGAAUAGCGAGAUACGAAGGAAGCGGCCUCCAUUCGCAGACGACACCUUGACGAGGCUCGUUAUGGAUUCCCACCCGAUGGGGGCACUAUGCAGACUGAGGAAGUCGUGCCGCGUGCACAGUCUGUUGGCAUAGAUAGUAGUCUGACCGACGACGCUGGUUUGCAGCAUCAUUUGCAUCACUCGUCGCAUUUACAUUGUCCGUUACCACCCGUGAUCCACAUGGCCGUUAAGCAAGAGCCUCAGGAGGAGGAAGAGCGAAGUCGCGAUGCGAGCACGUUGAGUCCGCAAGUGGAUGCGAUCAACGCCACGGGUUCGGUGGACAAGCAAGUUGGCCAUCAUCAAAUUCAAGGACUGGAGGACAAUUCAACGUUAGUUCCAGAUGCUAACAACCGAGGACGAUCCAGCCGUGGUCGCAGAAAAUCGCGAUGGAAGCUCAAGUUUCAUCAUCAGGCGCUUCCGCCGGAAUACUUGGAUCACUACGAGGCUUCAUUGGCUCAGGAAAACCUGAGUUCGUCGCCACCGCGAACCAUCGAACCGGCGGCACCCAGCCCAGCGCCGACGAGCUCGACGUCCACUCCAAGUCCUAUCGCCGACACUCACAGUUGGUUACAACGGAUCGCAGCGAUGCAGCAGGAGCUCUGUCCACACGUCGCGUCUGUGCCUCAGAAUCCGACUCCUGGUCAUGACAAUCAAGUCACCAGUACUAGGAGAUCCGUUAUCACGUCCGCGUCCUCGCAAGCCUACUCCAACGCACCAUAUCCCAAUCAUCAUGCUCAGCAGACGCAAUCGCAAACGUCUAGCAGACCGCCAAUGAAGUAUUCCGAUCUUCCCUACAUGGGCGAGAUCACCCUCGAUAAUAGCAAGCCUAGACGCGGCCGAAAGCCGAAGAAAGCUGAUAUCUGCCAUUUAAUUUACAAGAAUUAUGGCACUAUACUGCCGGGUACGCCCGGUCACGAGGAGAGAAGACUGUCGCCUCGGGACAAACAGGAUUCUCAGGACCGUGUAUCGCCACAUCUGCCUUUUCAGAAGACGGAUGUGCAAAACAGAAUAAGUAGUUUGUUGGAGAAGCGGCUGACACAGGAGACUAGACGGAAUUUUGUCGCGCUAUCUGAGAGCGCGCGGGAGCAGGAUGAACCAUUGAAUCUCUGCAUCAGAGAUCUCAACCAGUUGAAGAUUCGACUACUGCGGAAGCAUGGGAACGUUUAUGAAUCCGGUCAAAUGAAGAGCGAGACGUCCAGUGACGGUGAAGAAGUGGAAUGUCUUGGAAGCGCUUUUUUAUCGGAACCGAUCAACUACUCGGACUCGAUAAUCCAUCGUUCAAACAACAGUCUCGUCAAUCAUAAUAACAACGUGAUCGAUCCGAUGAUCGGCCACAACUCUGGUUUCGUGUAUUGGCCAAACACCGGCGUAUUCAUCCAUCCGAUGGCUCUGCAGUCUCAAUUGCUGUAUUAUCAGAAGGUUGCUCAAGGUGACAAGUGCUCGCCGCGGCCGACGGAUCAACCGCCGAGGGAGCAGAAAAUCGUGCCCAAAUCGAUAUAUUCGAUGAUGGAGACCAAAAGCAUACCUCAAGUGUCUGCGCUACCUGUGUCUCAGGCGACGCCGACGCCGACGCCGACGCCGACGCCGACGCCGACGCCGACGCCGAUCGCUGCACCACCGUCACCUAGACCGAAGAGGAACGCUCCUCUAAAUCAGCCGCAGAAUCAGCCGACUAAGCGAAAGCGUUCCGCAAUAUUUAUACCACCGAUACCGACGGAAAACAACAACAAUCCGGCGACGGAAGUGAGUAUAUGCAAGUUCAAAUUCACCGGCGGCGCCAAGCCUAGUCUACAGGAAAAGAAGAGUCUCUCCGUGGAUUCGGGCGGCAAUUUCCGCUAUUACAGUGGCACAGGUGACAAGAGUAUGCGCGGCUACGAGUUCUUCCCUAGAGAAGCCCUUCAACAGCCGGCGAGCCAGUCCGGGACGACCUCCGCCGCCGGAGCUUUCCUCAGCGCUGCCGGCGAGAGAAUCCAAUCCCCGAUUACAUGCCAGAGAAACCCCAUCAGCCAGGAUGACGGACGACGAAAGAGAAAAACUAGGAAGUCCCUGCAGCGCGAGAAGCUGGAGCAGACCUUCAAAGAGAAGGGCUUUCUCAUUCAAACGCAGCAACUAGAGUCCGCGGAGGGUGCCACGUACUGCAAAUUCCGGCAGCUCAGGAAAUUCACCAGAUAUCUGUUCAGAAGCUGGAAAGACUAUUUGCCCGGUAAUGUGCGCGAACUGACCGGCAACGGCAGCGGUGCCAAUGCGAUAAACGGCGAUGCGACCGAUCUUGACGUCGAGGGAGACGCCGCUCUCGUUCAUUCUCCGCUUCCUCGUGGCAAUCUAUUGGAAGUGCCGAACAACUUUGUGGAGGAUCAUCAGACUUUGCCCCUCACGUGAGAUUUGACAUUCGCGACGUGUCAGUUGAUGAACGGAAGUCAUGACAUGGUACGACAGUAUCGUGUCAUGAUGCGCGUCAUGAAGAUAGAGAAACAAACUGGAUUUCAGCUUUGUGCCAAAGAUGAGAGAGACUGGACUAUGUGUAUGUAUAUAUAUUCCGGUCUAGAUUAUACCCGCAUAUGUCCGCGAGAACGGGUUAACCAAAGAGUGAAAUUUUGUGCUCGCCAUAUCUAUAUGGGAUCGGAGAUACGCGGAGAUAAUUCGUGUUUAGACUAAUAUCGGACUGCGAUGCAUUUGGGAUGGUAUCGGAUGAAAAUCAGAGACUUGCAUCGAUACCGUCGCCACGUCAUAUUUUUCUAAGCGAAUCGUCUAACGAUAAAUCUAGUCUUAUUUAUAUAUUCUUGUUAUAAAAUUGUAAACAUGUUUUCUCGUUUUUACAUGGGACGGAUAUUUAUAUUACGUUAUAAUAACGCUAUGCGCGUAUCAGCGUUAUUACAAGUAAUAUACUGCAGGUACAAAAAGAAAACGGGCGAGCUUAUAUACAUGACAGCGUCGAGACAAUAGGCGCAAUUGAUUCGUUUCGUCGAUUCGUUACACGUUUCGGAACAAAUAUUUGAGCAGCUGUUUACAAAUGCAAAGUGCUUGUAUAUUAAAAGUAUACGAGAUGAUAGGGAUAUACUGUGCAAGAUUCUGAAAUAUUUUCUCCAAUAGAUUAAUUGAUCGAUGAUAUUGUUAUAGACCCGAUUAUUACGCUUACAUGUACUAGAUUCGUUUAAAGGGACUGAUAUAAUUUUGACGAGCUUUGUUUCCUAUUGAUGUGAAAAAUAGUUUUUAUAUCAAUUGUAAUAAUUCCAUGAAUUGUUACAAAUAUAGAAAUUAUUUUCGCAUAUUUAUGCAUUAAAAUUUAAACUUAUUUAAAUUUUUUCCAAUCUUUUAAUCGCUCAUACGUAUAUUCUAUUCUCAGCCCAAAAUGCGAAAAGACGCGAAUCUAUUGUCGAAUCGAAUCUCUUAUUAUAAGCAGGGUAACUAUGAGUCGAAAACCGUCCUACAUCAAGCUACCGUUGCCUUUUUUCAUAUGGCGACAUGUAAAAUUAUUUUAUACUUAUGCUCAUUGUAACGAGAUAAAGCCUUAUAGCCUAUAAUAAUGAAACGAAUUGUUAUCGAUAUGA